This 986-nucleotide long non-coding RNA is filed under the name Homo sapiens (human). Its description in RNAcentral is "HSALNT0086593". Lineage: Eukaryota; Metazoa; Chordata; Mammalia; Primates; Hominidae. The record is from RNAcentral.
UAAAUAUUUUUGUUUAUUCUUUCUCCUCCAUUAGCUUACAGGCUCUCUCUGUUUUGUUCCCUUUCCUGAAGGAAACUAUAAUUUUUUGUGUCAAAAAUAUUUUCUCCUAUGAGUUGCAAUCUUCAGGGAAAGGACGUAGCUUCAAACAAAGGCAAAUGCUUUCUCCUUAGCCAAAGUAACAUAAAGGUCACUUUCUGUAAAACAUCAGGAUAUUGCAUUUUAAAAUGCUUUCCAUAUAACAUUAGUUUGAUGAACGGCUUAGCCUAGGAUUCUGCACCUAGUUCCAAUCAAAACCAAGUUGUGAACAGAUCCCUUCUUUACACCAAUCUCAUCUUUCAAGAACGAGCUAAAGGUUCAUGAAUUCCUUCCUCAAGAGGCAGUUACUUUUCAAGCUAAGGACCAAGCUUGAAACAAGCAUAUACCUGCACAAGGGAGGUUUAAUUUCACUACAGAGCGAAUCAUUUUUUCAAGGAAACCAGAGGGUGUGUCAUACAGCAUCACUGAAUAUUCUAAUAUGCGAUGAAGCUGUUAUGCUUCCUUAUGAACUUUAUAAAUCUUCAUUUUUAUGAGGCUUAGAAUUCAUCCCCCUUCCCUCUUCCACUGUUUUCCCGGGGUCACAGUUGUAGUAUAGUUUGCCCAAUGGAUUUCGCAUGGUCAUUGUACCUGGAAUAUGUCACGCUCCCUACUCUUACUGCCCCCAAACUCUUCUCAGCAGAGAUAGGCUGAAAGCAGCUCGCUUUUAGGCGGCGACGCAAACACACGUAGCCAGCUGAGCGACAGCAAGCAACCAAAUGGCUUUGCUGGAGGCCCCCUGCGUGCACGGAUAAAGGAAGGAUCCCGUCCACAGACCCAAUUCUUAGGGCCGCCUUCUCCCCGACGGAGGAAGAAGCUUCCUGGCAAAAGGACGAACAGGUGCGACGCCAGCAGUUCGCAGCCUCUCACCUGGCCGGCGGGCUGGGCUACUGUCACCACUCAGCAGCCAAGGA